UCCCUGGUAGCUCAGUUGGAAAAGAAUCUGCCUGCAAUGCAGGAGACCCUGGUUUGAUUCCUGGGUUGGGAA
This 72-nucleotide transfer RNA is filed under the name Ovis aries (sheep). It matches the Rfam family "tRNA". From Rfam's summary of the family: Transfer RNA (tRNA) molecules are approximately 80 nucleotides in length. Their secondary structure includes four short double-helical elements and three loops (D, anti-codon, and T loops). Lineage: Eukaryota; Metazoa; Chordata; Mammalia; Artiodactyla; Bovidae. The record is from Rfam by way of RNAcentral.